Molecule: long non-coding RNA, 449 nt
Filed under: Zostera marina
Lineage: Eukaryota; Viridiplantae; Streptophyta; Magnoliopsida; Alismatales; Zosteraceae
Description: long non-coding RNA (ZMAR_LNC002180)
Source: RNAcentral
UCAUUAUCAUCUCUAACAUCAACAAAUUCAUCUACAUCAUUUACAUAUAUUUGAGGAGGUAAUGUUAUAAUAGUUUCUUCAUUUUCUAAAAUGUCAAUAGUCGUUGUUGCUUGCGUACGAAUCACAGUCUGCCAUUCUUUGUUUUUCGUAGACAUUUUAGGUAAAUAACACACUUGAUGUGCCUGAUAAGCAAAAAUAAAUGGUUCGUUACAAUUCAAUCGUCGUCUUGUGUUAACUUCGACAGUAUGAAAUCGAUCAACUUUUAUUCCUCGUUCAGUAUCAUACCAAUCAACUUUGAACAUAACUGUUUGAGUUCGAUCUCCAUAAAAAUCAAUUUCCAAAAUCUCUUUCAAAUGCCAUACCAAUUCAUAUCAUAGGCAUUGACAGUGCUUCCUUUCAACAUAACUCCUGAAUUUUUUGUUUUUUUAGAGUUAUCGUGUGCGUCAAUA